GGUGCUGUGGCGCAGUGGGUUAACGUCCUGGCCUGAGGCGCCAGCAUCCCAUGUGGAUGCUGGUUCGAGACCGGGCUGCUCCA
Molecule: transfer RNA, 83 nt
Filed under: Oryctolagus cuniculus (rabbit)
Lineage: Eukaryota; Metazoa; Chordata; Mammalia; Lagomorpha; Leporidae
Rfam family: tRNA
About the family: Transfer RNA (tRNA) molecules are approximately 80 nucleotides in length.
Source: Rfam by way of RNAcentral